This is a long non-coding RNA of Bubalus bubalis (water buffalo), 783 nucleotides long. RefSeq lists it as uncharacterized. The record is from RefSeq and is a predicted model, not a curated record. The transcript has 2 exons. Lineage: Eukaryota; Metazoa; Chordata; Mammalia; Artiodactyla; Bovidae.
CGGGGAGGCCUCAGUGUCUCCUCUCCUUCGGGAGAACGGAAGGACGCCUGCGGCCUACUCCCACUCUGAAUCAGACCUGACAAGAGCAUCUCUCACGGGCUAGGUGUGGUACUGGGAGCCGCAGGAGUCAGACCACCCAGACCAUGUGGAAUCUCACAGGAGGGAAGUGACACAGGUCCUUGACAUGAGGCAGAGAUCAACCUGAGAUGGGUACAGAUGAAGCCCCUGAUUGGAGAAAAUCGGUAAAGGCUUCCGAGAAGGACAUUUAAAGAAAAGUGGAAGUGACUGACAUAAAAAUAAAAAAUUGAGAGCAGUCAGUAGUUUGGUCUAACUGGCAGAGAGGGUGGUGCAAUUGGAGAGGUAGUGUAUGGACAUAUCCAGGGGCUGAAAUGAUGUGUGCUUGGUCAAAUACAGUGAUUCUAAAAUGGUCACGUGCUCAUAUAUCACUUGGAGAGCUUGUUCAGAUUCAGGUUCAAGAAGUCUGAGGUGGGGCGAUCCUGCUUUUCUACCAGAUUCCCAGGCAAUGCUAGUGUUGCUGGUUCAGGGUUCACAAUAUGAAGAGUGAAGAUGUGGUUUAUUCAUUCAACAAACAUUCUGUGUAGAAUGUCAUGACAUCCCAGGCUUGGUGCUGAGCAGAAGUGGAUGAAUGAGCCAUGUUUUUGCCUUUGUGCAAUUUAAAAUUUGAUAAAUGAUUUUUUUAAAGCAAACAUGAAGAUUCUGUUAAUUUAUAAUUUAUUAAAGUGUUAUUGCUAUAAUUGAAAAUGUUACAGAGACUUUUACAUU